Molecule: transfer RNA, 74 nt
Filed under: Paramuricea clavata
Lineage: Eukaryota; Metazoa; Cnidaria; Anthozoa; Malacalcyonacea; Plexauridae
Rfam family: tRNA
About the family: Transfer RNA (tRNA) molecules are approximately 80 nucleotides in length.
Source: Rfam by way of RNAcentral
GACCUUGUAGCUCAGAAGGUAGAGCAUCGUUCCAGAAAUGCGAAGGUCGCGGGUUCGAAUCCCAGCCGCGGUCA